GACGAACGCUGGCGGCGUGCUUAACACAUGCAAGUCGAACGGAAAGGCCCUGCUUUUGUGGGGUGCUCGAGUGGCGAACGGGUGAGUAACACGUGAGUAACCUGCCCUUGACUUUGGGAUAACUUCAGGAAACUGGGGCUAAUACCGGAUAGGAGCUCCUGCUGCAUGGUGGGGGUUGGAAAGUUUCGGCGGGUGGGGAUGGACUCGCGGCUUAUCAGCUUGUUGGUGGGGUAGUGGCUUACCAAGGCUUUGACGGGUAGCCGGCCUGAGAGGGUGACCGGCCACAUUGGGCCUGAGAUACGGCCCAGACUCCUACGGGAGGCAGCAGUGGGGAAUAUUGCACAAUGGGCGGAAGCCUGAUGCAGCAACGCCGCGUGCGGGAUGACGGCCUUCGGGUUGUAAACCGCUUUCGCCUGUGACGAAGCGUGAGUGACGGUAAUGGGUAAAGAAGCACCGGCUAACUACGUG
Molecule: ribosomal RNA, 468 nt
Filed under: uncultured bacterium
Lineage: Bacteria
Description: partial 16S ribosomal RNA
Rfam family: Bacterial small subunit ribosomal RNA
Source: RNAcentral